This 740-nucleotide ribosomal RNA is filed under the name uncultured bacterium. RNAcentral describes it as "bacterial SSU rRNA". It matches the Rfam family "Bacterial small subunit ribosomal RNA", at positions 8 to 796 of the family's 1533-position model. The record is from RNAcentral.
AGAGUUUGAUCCUGGCUCAGAACGAACGCUGGCGGCAGGCUUAACACAUGCAAGUCGAACGCUCCGCAAGGAGAGUGGCAGACGGGUGAGUAACGCGUGGGAAUCUACCUAGUUCUACGGAACAACAGUUGGAAACGACUGCUAAUACCGUAUACGCCCUAAGGGGGAAAGAUUUAUCGGAAUUAGAUGAGCCCGCGUAAGAUUAGCUAGUUGGUGGGGUAAUGGCCUACCAAGGCGACGAUCUUUAGCUGGUCUGAGAGGAUGAUCAGCCACACUGGGACUGAGACACGGCCCAGACUCCUACGGGAGGCAGCAGUGGGGAAUAUUGGACAAUGGGCGCAAGCCUGAUCCAGCCAUGCCGCGUGAGUGAUGAAGGCCUUAGGGUUGUAAAGCUCUUUCAGUGGGGAAGAUAAUGACGGUACCCACAGAAGAAGCCCCGGCUAACUUCGUGCCAGCAGCCGCGGUAAUACGAAGGGGGCUAGCGUUGUUCGGAUUUACUGGGCGUAAAGCGCACGUAGGCGGAUUGUUAAGUCAGGGGUGAAAUCCUGGAGCUCAACUCCAGAACUGCCUUUGAUACUGGCAAUCUAGAGUCCGGAAGAGGUGAGUGGAACUCCUAGUGUAGAGGUGGAAUUCGCAGAUAUUAGGAAGAACACCAGUGGCGAAGGCGGCUCACUGGUCCGGUACUGACGCUGAGGUGCGAAAGCGUGGGGAGCAAACAGGAUUAGAUACCCUAGUAGUCC